GAUGAACGCUAGCGGGAGGCCUAAUACAUGCAAGUCGAACGGUAAGGUCCCUUCGGGGAUACACGAGUGGCGGACGGGUGCGUAACGCGUACGAAACAUACCUUCAACAGGGAGAUACCUCCGGGAAACUGGAAAUAAUACCCCAUAGUAUUGAGAUAUCGCAUGAUAUUUCAAUUAAAGCUUUGGCGGUUGAAGAUUGUCGUGCGUCUGAUUAGCUAGUUGGUGAGGUAACGGCUCACCAAGGCGACGAUCAGUAGCUGGUCUGAGAGGAUGAUCAGCCACACUGGAACUGAGACACGGUCCAGACUCCUACGGGAGGCAGCAGUAGGGAAUAUUGGACAAUGGGCGGAAGCCUGAUCCAGCCAUCCCGCGUGUAGGAAUAAGACCCUAUGGGUUGU
RNAcentral lists this ribosomal RNA (398 nucleotides) under uncultured bacterium. Its description in RNAcentral is "bacterial SSU rRNA". It matches the Rfam family "Bacterial small subunit ribosomal RNA", at positions 28 to 426 of the family's 1533-position model. The record is from RNAcentral.